UAUCACAUAUUCUGAUUUACUGGAGAAAAAAAUCUAUCAUUAGUGGUCAACAAAGACAACAUGAUCUAUCUAGCCCUGCUUUAAUUGAAAACAUCACAGCAUUGUAAAUUGCAGAUGAAAUGAUAAAAUUUCAGACAAUGUAUAGGAAUUCAGAUAAAGCAAAAUGAGAAUGAUAUGAAUCUCCAUUUGGAUAGAUCAAGACUUGAAAUGAAGCGAUGUUGGAAUUUAACAUUAUGUUGGUGUUCUAUUACUUUACCCAGAAAUCCAAAUCCACCUUCAUUUUGAAUGCAUACCUUUCCAAAUGGACAGAAAGGAAUGCAAGAAAAGAGAAGAGGAUAGUAAAACAUUCUAAGAACCAGAAUAUCAAUUAGAAUCCCAAGACAUUAAGACAAAUAAUUGAGUAUCACAGAAGAAAGUUUAGACAGAGUAAGAGUUGACAACUAGCAGCAAACAUGACUAGGGAGGAAUAAGAUUUCCCAGUUCCUGCCAGAUGCAAUAUUAGAAUCCAUCUUCUCAUUAGUAAUAAACAGAAAUUAAGCUAUAAGGUCGAAGAAACUACAAUUCAUAUUGCCUUAAAAGAAGCAAAACACCAAAAGGAGAAGAAUAAUAAGGGAACAGAUCAUCACAAGAUUUCAAAAGGAAUUCCUGAUUAAGAGAGAUUAAAAGGAUGCCAACCCACCUAUAUAACUGAAGCAUCAUAUGAAAAGCCAUUAUGGUCUAUUAAUAUGAUAAGGCAGGAAGAAAAUCAUCCAAAUAUAUGGUCAACGCUUUUCUAGAGUAGAAGAUUUCUUGAGGUCCGCAAGGUAUGUGACAAACAGAAGAAACAAAAAUAACUUUUUGUUCCAAACAUUAAACCGUGUUAAAACAGCAAAUCAACUGAUACACUCAUAGUCAGUAUGUUAACCAAUUUCAGUGCAUCACUUGAAACCUACUGGGUGUCAACACAUUUACCUCUAAUACCAUUAAAAAAGUUUUGGGAAAUUGGUAUUCCUAUUCCACCAUUUAGUUUUCACUAUAAAUGUUGAAAAUUUGACAUAAAUUUUUGCAAAAAAUACACAUUAUUUGCACAUGGUUUUGAAUAGCAACAAACUAAAAAAUUUGAUGAUGCUUGGCACUCAUGAAAUUUUUUCAAUACUUGCACUUUAGCACUCUUAUUUUCCAUUCUUACCACUUGAUUAAUUUGCUACUAGGAUACUAUGCCAAAAUUAUACCAAAAUGGCACCAUAUUGGAUAUUAGUUGUAGUUUCUGCAAAGUGAAAGAUCACUUUGAUAUUUAAUUUUGGUUUGAUGCAUAUUAACCUCAGAUAGGUAUAGCUGUUCUCCACGAAAUGAACUUCAUCUCUUCCUUAAUUUUUUAUAAUGUUUGAUUGGUUUGAGAAAAAUAAAUAAAAAAACAACGAUUUUAGGUUAGGAAUUGGGGUUAGGAUUCAAACAAGUUGGGGCAGGACAACAUGUGGCCUUAUUGGCAAUUCCCAGUGCCCACAAGAUGGGGAGGGGAUCAAAUUGCCAGGGUUUAGGGUGUGCCAAUGAAAAGAAGUUUACUCCCAGAAUGGCAGAACUUCAUCACACUGUCUUUCUCACUUCAUAAUUCUCAUGUAUAGAGCACAUGACAUGAAGUCCAUCAUGUUCCUGAACAAGGGCUAAGACAGAACUUCCAGGGACAGCAAAUACAUAAUUGCUUGUUCAUUGGCUUUAGAGCAUCUGUAUCACAUCAACCAUCCUAGAUUUUACAGGGAAGGAACCGAAAGUACAAAAUGGGGAAGUUGUUUGGUGUUUGAAGAGAUAAUUUGGGCUGUAGCCAAGAAACCCAUUAUUGAUCAAAUCGAGACAGAUCCAAUUCAUUGGUAAAAGAAAAAUCUACCUGCCUGCAAUAUGAAAAAAUAUAUAGACGUGGCUGGCUUCUGCACCACCAAAGUGACCGCUUGAGUUCUACUAAAUGUAAUACAAAUGCAGGGGAAAGUUAAACCCAUCAACGCAAAUAUCCUAAGUCUAGUAGCAGUAGUUCUUUCAGAUUUACAAUAAGCAGCAUUUGCGAGGAUCUUACAGUUUGCACAGGAUUCUGCCAUGUGAACAAAAUUAAUUACUUGCAAGCUUUGUCAGAAGGCUACCAAGAAUAUGAAAGAAAGGCCCAUUUCCAGUAAACCCUCCCUAUAUCACUCAAUUAAAAGGAGUAUUACAUCCCAAACAAUCAUUCCUAAGAAAAGAAUCCUAAUGAAAUAAGCCAGGAAAUUGGAACAGAAAAGUGAGAUAAAUGGGCAAAUAUCCAACAAGAUCUGAUUCUAGAAAAUUUGCUACUUGUUCUGGUUUAAUUUUAGAACAAGCUCUGAAUGAUAAAAAUAUACAAGAGUAAUAUACACACUACAUAAAUCAAUAUUCAACAUGCAACAAAAUAUUUUAGGGUACAAAAAAAAGCAUCUAAAGAAGUAUAAGAUUGUACAGGAACUAUUAUCUUAAUCAAUGAACAUCAACAAAAUAAUCCAAAACAUAUUUUUAGUAUGGAAAUGUGUAAA
Molecule: unclassified non-coding RNA, 2510 nt
Filed under: Hevea brasiliensis (rubber tree)
Lineage: Eukaryota; Viridiplantae; Streptophyta; Magnoliopsida; Malpighiales; Euphorbiaceae
Source: RNAcentral